RNAcentral lists this unclassified non-coding RNA (758 nucleotides) under Hevea brasiliensis (rubber tree). Lineage: Eukaryota; Viridiplantae; Streptophyta; Magnoliopsida; Malpighiales; Euphorbiaceae. The record is from RNAcentral.
GUUUUUCCUUCUUAAUCUUAUAAUAUUUUUAUUUCUUACAUUCUCAUUAUUGGUAAACAACCAAAUGAAAACCUUAACAAUAUAGUUUGUGUUUUCUGGCUGUUGAUGAUUACAUUGCUUUUGUAGGAUUUCUAAAUUAGCACUUGAUGCUCAUGGCGACUUUGUCCUUGUAGUAUGGUGCUAAUUGUAUAUAAAUGCUAAGGAUGGCUCUAUGAAUAUUUUCUUCUCCAAGGAACAGUAUAUAUUCGUGUGAUUUUUGAAAUGAUAAUAUCUUAUGGUUAAUGAAGUAACUGCUCUCCAAUAAGCAUGGUAGAAUUUUCAUGGCUCCGUGGCUAUAGCUUCACGUUUGUUUUUAUCUUUCAUGUUUGUGUUAGUUCGUUAUUUUUGCAUACAUCAUUUUACUUUGCUUAACCUUGGUGCCUUAUUAACAUUAUUAAUUUAUGUUAUACCUGCCGCAUUCACCAGUAGAUAGCCAAUUUCAUCCCAUUGCUCAUUUCAUCCUACUUCCAUGUGACAUAUUGGAGCUAAUUUGUUGGCCUUUGUCUUAGAUCCCAUGUUUCUAUUUUGUGUGCUUUUCUAAUUCUGUUUGUCAUUGCUAUUCUUAAGUAUUUACUCUGGAAAAUUAUCAGUAUUGCCUUAAUUGAACUUGUUCAUGUAGGUUCUAGGUGACUACCUCAACCCAAAUCAACUCAGUUAAGCCUUUAUCUACAAAAUUUAUUGGGUUCGGCUAUAUAGAUUCUCUUCCUCCACUCUAAACG